GAUCCUGGCUCAGGAUGAACGCUAGCUACAGGCUUAACACAUGCAAGUCGAGGGGCAGCAUUUUUAUAGCAAUAUAAAAGAUGGCGACCGGCGCACGGGUGAGUAACACGUAUCCAACCUGCCCGAUAACUCGGGGAUAACCCGUUCGAAAGAAGGCCUAAUACCCGAUGGCACUAUCCCUUCCGUCCUGGUUGGGAUAUUAAAGGAACUUCGGUUAUCGAUGGGUAUGCGUUCCAGUUAGCUUGUUGGCGGGUAACGCC
This 260-nucleotide ribosomal RNA is filed under the name uncultured bacterium. Its description in RNAcentral is "partial 16S ribosomal RNA". It matches the Rfam family "Bacterial small subunit ribosomal RNA", at positions 15 to 265 of the family's 1533-position model. The record is from RNAcentral.